Molecule: ribosomal RNA, 484 nt
Filed under: uncultured bacterium
Lineage: Bacteria
Description: partial 16S ribosomal RNA
Rfam family: Bacterial small subunit ribosomal RNA
Source: RNAcentral
AUUGAACGCUGGCGGCAGGCCUAACACAUGCAAGUCGAGCGGAUGAAGGGAGCUUGCUCCUGGAUUCAGCGGCGGACGGGUGAGUAAUGCUUAGGAAUCUGCCUGGUAGUGGGGGAUAACGUCCGGAAACGGGCGCUAAUACCGCAUACGUCCUGAGGGAGAAAGUGGGGGAUCUUCGGACCUCACGCUAUCAGAUGAGCCUAGGUCGGAUUAGCUAGUUGGUGGGGUAAAGGCCUACCAAGGCGACGAUCCGUAACUGGUCUGAGAGGAUGAUCAGUCACACUGGAACUGAGACACGGUCCAGACUCCUACGGGAGGCAGCAGUGGGGAAUAUUGGACAAUGGGCGAAAGCCUGAUCCAGCCAUGCCGCGUGUGUGAAGAAGGUCUUCGGAUUGUAAAGCACUUUAAGUUGGGAGGAAGGGCAGUAAGUUAAUACCUUGCCGUUUUGACGUUACCAACAGAAUAAGCACCGGCUAACUUCGUG